AGCGAACGCUGGCGGCAUGCCUAACACAUGCAAGUCGCACGGGGGGGCUUCGGCCUCCCAGUGGCGGACGGGUGAGGAACGCGUAGGGACCUGUCGAGGGGUGGGGGAUAACCGCGGGAAACUGCGGCUAAUACCGCAUGACGCCGCGGCGUGACAGCCGGGGCCAAAGGCGAAAGCCGCCCGCCGAGGGGCCUGCGUCCGAUUAGCUGGUUGGCGGGGUAGCGGCCCACCAAGGCGUCGAUCGGUAGCUGGUCUGAGAGGGUGAUCAGCCACACCGGGACUGAGACACGGCCCGGUCUCCUACGGGAGGCAGCAGUGGGGAAUAUUGGACAAUGGGCGCAAGCCUGAUCCAGCAAUGCCGCGUGGGUGAAGAAGGUCUUCGGAUUGUAAAGCCCUUUCGGCGGGGACGAUGGUGACGGUACCCGCAGAAGAAGCCCCGGCUAAUUUCGUG
This 451-nucleotide ribosomal RNA is filed under the name uncultured bacterium. RNAcentral describes it as "partial 16S ribosomal RNA". It matches the Rfam family "Bacterial small subunit ribosomal RNA", at positions 28 to 507 of the family's 1533-position model. The record is from RNAcentral.